RNAcentral lists this ribosomal RNA (422 nucleotides) under uncultured bacterium. Its description in RNAcentral is "bacterial SSU rRNA". It matches the Rfam family "Bacterial small subunit ribosomal RNA", at positions 355 to 774 of the family's 1533-position model. The record is from RNAcentral.
UAAGGAAUAUUGGACAAUGGAGGCAACUCUGAUCCAGCCAUGCCGCGUGAAGGAAUAAGGCCCUAUGGGUUGUAAACUUCUUUUAGACGGGACAAAACCCCUUUACGUGUAAAGGGUUGAUGGUACUGUCAGAAUAAGAAUCGGCUACCUUCGUGCCAGCAGCCGCGGUAAGACGAAGGAUGCAAGCGUUAUCCGGAAUUGUUGGGUUUAAAGGGUGCGUAGGCGGACUAAUAAGUCAGGGGUGAAAGCCUGCAGCUUAACUGCAGAAUUGCCAUCGAUACUGUUAGUCUUGAGGUCAGUUGAGGUAGGCGGAAUGUGUCAUGUAGCGGUGAAAUGCUUAGAUAUGACACAGAACACCGAUUGCGAAGGCAGCUUGCUAAGCUGUAACUGACGCUGAGGCACGAAAGCGUGGGGAGCAAACA